Molecule: ribosomal RNA, 484 nt
Filed under: uncultured bacterium
Lineage: Bacteria
Description: partial 16S ribosomal RNA
Rfam family: Bacterial small subunit ribosomal RNA
Source: RNAcentral
AUUGAACGCUGGCGGCAGGCCUAACACAUGCAAGUCGAGCGGAUGAAGGGAGCUUGCUCCUGGAUUCAGCGGCGGACGGGUGAGUAAUGCCUAGGAAUCUGCCUGGCAGUGGGGGAUAACGUCCGGUAACGGGCGCUAAUACCGCACACGGCCUGAGGGAGAAAGUGGGGGUUCUUCGGACCUCACGCUACCAGAUGAUCCUAGGUCGGAUUAGCUAGUUGGUGGGGUAAAGGCCUACCAAGGCGACGAUCCGUAACUGGUCUGAGAGGAUGAUCAGUCACACUGGAACUGAGACACGGUCCAGACUCCUACGGGAGGCAGCAGUGGGGAAUAUUGGACAAUGGGCGAAAGCCUGAUCCAGCCAUGCCGCGUGUGUGAAGAAGGUCUUCGGAUUGUAAAGCACUUUAAGUUGGGAGGAAGGGCAGUAAGUUAAUACCUUGCUGUUUUGACGUUACCAACAGAAUAAGCACCGGCUAACUUCGUG